UCUUCGAUGGUCUAGUGGUCAUGAUUUCCGCUUGUCAUUGCAAGAUUACAAGCGCGGGAGACCGGGGUAAGUCCUUCCGCAAGACUACCCGCAGCAAUUACUAAACUGCCUCAGGUUCGAUUCCCCGUCGGAGAG
Molecule: transfer RNA, 135 nt
Filed under: Didymella heteroderae
Lineage: Eukaryota; Fungi; Ascomycota; Dothideomycetes; Pleosporales; Didymellaceae
Description: tRNA-Asp
Source: RNAcentral